Molecule: ribosomal RNA, 701 nt
Filed under: Endogone pisiformis
Lineage: Eukaryota; Fungi; Mucoromycota; Endogonomycetes; Endogonales; Endogonaceae
Description: eukaryotic LSU rRNA
Rfam family: Eukaryotic large subunit ribosomal RNA
Source: RNAcentral
UGAUCUGAAAUCAGGUAGGAUUACCCGCUGAACUUAAGCAUAUCAAUAAGCGGAGGAAAAGAAACUAACAAGGAUUCCCCUAGUAACGGCGAGUGAAGCGGGAAAAGCUCAAAUUUUAAAUCGAAUAGGGUACCUUAUUCGAGUUGUAUUUUCAAGAGACGUUUUCGGAUCGCGCCUGGGUAUAAGUCCUUUGGAACAGGGCAUCAUAGAGGGUGAGAAUCCCGUUUAUGACCCGGAGCGGCUGUCUAUGUGAUACGUUUUCAAAGAGUCAGGUUGUUUGGGAAUGCAGCCUAAAAUGGGUGGUAAAUUUCAUCUAAAGCUAAAUAUUGGCGAGAGACCGAUAGCGAACAAGUACCGUGAGGGAAAGAUGAAAAGAACUUUGAAAAGAGAGUUAAACAGUACGUGAAAUUGUUGAAAGGGAAACGUUUGAAAUCAGUCAUGUAAACGAGUAAUCAGCUUGGCUUUUGCCUUGUGCACUUUCUCGUUCGCAGGUCAGCGUCAGUUUUGAUACUAGUCGGAUAAAAAAUCAAGGGAAUGUGGCUCUCUUUUACGAGGGAGUGUUAUAGCCCUGGUUAUAAUACGAUGGUUAAGACUGAGGUCUGCAGCCAAUACCCUUCAUGGGCUGGAUAUUUCUUUUGCUCAUGGGUAACCGAGUUUAGACAGCUUGCUGACUAGGUUUGAAUUGCCUGUGACUCGAUUGA